Molecule: small nuclear RNA, 107 nt
Organism: Propithecus coquereli (Coquerel's sifaka)
Lineage: Eukaryota; Metazoa; Chordata; Mammalia; Primates; Indriidae
Source: Ensembl
GUGUUUACUUUGGCAGUACAUAUACUAAAAUUGGAAUAACACAGAGAAGAUUAGCUUGGCCCCUGCUCAACAAUGACACACAAAUUUAUGAAGCAUUCUUUCUUUUU